This 497-nucleotide ribosomal RNA is filed under the name uncultured bacterium. RNAcentral describes it as "partial 16S ribosomal RNA". It matches the Rfam family "Bacterial small subunit ribosomal RNA", at positions 28 to 507 of the family's 1533-position model. The record is from RNAcentral.
GAUGAACGCUGGCGGCGUGCCUAAUACAUGCAAGUCGAGCGAACAGAUAAGGAGCUUGCUCCUUUGACGUUAGCGGCGGACGGGUGAGUAACACGUGGGUAACCUACCUAUAAGACUGGGAUAACUUCGGGAAACCGGAGCUAAUACCGGAUAACAUUUGGAACCGCAUGGUUCUAAAGUGAAAGAUGGUUUUGCUAUCACUUAUAGAUGGACCCGCGCCGUAUUAGCUAGUUGGUAAGGUAACGGCUUACCAAGGCGACGAUACGUAGCCGACCUGAGAGGGUGAUCGGCCACACUGGAACUGAGACACGGUCCAGACUCCUACGGGAGGCAGCAGUAGGGAAUCUUCCGCAAUGGGCGAAAGCCUGACGGAGCAACGCCGCGUGAGUGAUGAAGGGUUUCGGCUCGUAAAACUCUGUUAUUAGGGAAGAACAAAUGUGUAAGUAACUGUGCACGUCUUGACGGUACCUAAUCAGAAAGCCACGGCCAACUACGUG